AAUUUUAUUUCGGUGAAAUUCUUAGUGGCGAACGGGUGAGUAACGCGUAGACAACCUACCUCUCUGAUGGGGACAACAUCGCGAAAGCGGUGCUAAUACCGAAUGAUGUAACUUUUCUGCAUGGAAGAGUUACCAAAGGCGGCCUCUAUUUAUAAGCUGUCACUGAGAGAUGGGUCUGCGUCUGAUUAGCUAGUUGGUGGGGUAAUGGCCCACCAAGGCGACGAUCAGUAGCCGGUCUGAGAGGAUGAACGGCCACAUUGGGACUGAGACACGGCCCAAACUCCUACGGGAGGCAGCAGUGGGGAAUCUUCCGCAAUGGACGAAAGUCUGACGGAGCAACGCCGCGUGAGUGAAGAAGGUUUUCGGAUCGUAAAGCUCUGUUGUUUGAGACGAAUGUGCAAUUUUUGAAUAAGGAAUUGUAAUGACGGUAUUAAACGAGAAAGCCACGGCUAACUACGUGCCAGCAGCCGCGGUAAUACGUAGGUGGCAAGCGUUGUCCGGAAUUAUUGGGCGUAAAGGGAGCGCAGGUGGGAAAGUCAGUCGAUUUUAAAAGUGCGGGGCUC
RNAcentral lists this ribosomal RNA (563 nucleotides) under uncultured Veillonellaceae bacterium. Its description in RNAcentral is "bacterial SSU rRNA". It matches the Rfam family "Bacterial small subunit ribosomal RNA", at positions 71 to 610 of the family's 1533-position model. Lineage: Bacteria; Bacillati; Bacillota; Negativicutes; Veillonellales; Veillonellaceae. The record is from RNAcentral.